AAUUUACAUGAGAUUCGCUCGCGGCGUGUGACGUGUUUACUCUCUUCGGAUCCGACAUCGUCGUAGCGCGAUAUCGCGUCACAUGUCGCGGGAGAGCGAGUCGUCAGAUAGAGAAUAAUCGCGCGGAUGGGAUGGUGAAGACACAUCGCCAGCCGCACUACGGCAACCCAAUUAUGGGUGAUAACGAACGAAUUUAACUGGCACGUUCAUCGGUGUCGGUAAAUCUCUUUCUCCACCGUUUGUUUUUACACGUGCGCGUGUGUUUUUUAUGGCAAAGCGGCGAUUGAUAACGAUCGAUGAAAAUUACGUUCGACGUCGUCGGGUCUCUCCUCGGUCGUUGUAUUGGCGUAAGUAAGACGUCAGUUGCGAGCAAAGCUGUAUCUACGAAUAAGUAGAGACAUUAAGUAUUCAUAAAACACAUUUUAGCAUAUGUUAUAAAUAUUCAGAUCCAGAGAAUUUUCACACGGCAAUACUAUAUAUUAUAUAGUUCCGGUCUUGUAGAUACAACUUCAUUUAUUGAUUAAUAGCGUUUUAUUCUUAAAAAAUGAAUUCACAUUGACAUUGAGAGCAUCCAAUUACAUCGAUCAUUGUCACCGCGUGAGAAAGUGUAAAUUAAAAUAAUUUUUCUUUAUUACCUGUAUUUUUCUACGAUACAAUUUUCGGCGAUUUCCUUCCUCUUAUUUAUUUCCUGGGAGGCUGUCUUGUGAAUCGACGCAGGCAAAAUCAAAGAAAAGCGAAAGGAAAAGUAGACGAAAAUUACGAAGCACAGUACGACGCAACCGACUGGAUCUCCUCGCGUUUUCGUUCUCGCAAGAUCGUUUCGAUUACGCAUUAACAGGUCGACCUUAGGCGACAAGCAUUUGGUCUCGGAGCACGCUACUUAUUGCCUCGUAAAUUCGAUUCCCGUAACUGUCACCACGAAAUCUGGAGAGAAUUUCAGCGUCAACGAGCAGAUGUGUGAGCGAUCGUUAACACUACUAACUCAUUGUUAGUCUGCUCUAAUCAGCGAUGGAGGCGUUUCCAUUUGCUCCUCUUGAAACAAUGUAUAUUGGCCAGAUUUCUCUUGAUCUUGAGAGAUCACGAGCAAACACACCGAUUGCAACAAGAGACCCCUCCUGAUCGACUUCGUUGGAAGGUUUGCCGUGAAAUCGUUACGCUACGUCUCAGAGCACAUUAAAUGAUAUCAUAAUACUUUAAUGUUUAUUAAAUGCUUCUUAAAUCUUCUCUAACACACAUUUUUAAAUAUUCAAAAAAA
Molecule: long non-coding RNA, 1255 nt
Organism: Pogonomyrmex barbatus (red harvester ant)
Lineage: Eukaryota; Metazoa; Arthropoda; Insecta; Hymenoptera; Formicidae
Source: RefSeq, a predicted model, not a curated record